RNAcentral lists this ribosomal RNA (420 nucleotides) under uncultured bacterium. Its description in RNAcentral is "bacterial SSU rRNA". It matches the Rfam family "Bacterial small subunit ribosomal RNA", at positions 11 to 418 of the family's 1533-position model. The record is from RNAcentral.
GUUUGAUCCUGGCUCAGAACGAACGUUAGCGGCGCGCCUAACACAUGCAAGUCGAGCGAGAAAGGGGCAACCCCCGGUAAAGCGGCGCACGGGUGAGUAACACGUAGGUAAUCUACCCUCGGGUGGAGGAUAACUUUCCGAAAGGAAGGCUAAUACUGCAUGAGACCACGAUUCCGGAAGGGAUUGAGGUCAAAGCCGGCCACUGUACACAAGCUGGCGCCUGAGGAUGAGCCUGCGGCCCAUCAGCUAGUUGGUAGGGUAAUGGCCUACCAAGGCGAAGACGGGUAGCUGGUCUGAGAGGAUGAUCAGCCACACUGGAACUGAGACACGGUCCAGACUCCUACGGGAGGCAGCAGUGGGGAAUCUUGCGCAAUGGGCGAAAGCCUGACGCAGCGACGCCGCGUGAGUGAUGAAGGCCUC